RNAcentral lists this long non-coding RNA (1703 nucleotides) under Pandoravirus quercus. Its description in RNAcentral is "hypothetical ncRNA". The record is from RNAcentral.
CUCAAGUUGCCCUCGCCCAAGGCCUCGUCGGUGGCCAUUGCGAUGGCGGUCGAAAUGGCCUCGUCGACGACCCCGCGGCAGGAAUCGUCGGCGGCGGUCGGGUCGAGCAAAAGGGCGACGGCCUCGGCAUCGCGCGAGCACAAACUGGCAUAGAGCGGCGACUUUGAGGGCUCGUCCGAUGGCAGCGCGGCGCCUUUGCCAGUCGUAAAAGGCGCACGGGCACAGCCGUGUGCAUAGAGGAAGCGGACUACGUCGGCGUGACCCUCGCGCCACGCUUCCCACGCCCAACGCGGGUCGCCAGAACCCAUGCGCAUGCACGCCCACCGUGCAAUGUCCAUGUCACCGCGCGCAUAUGCCGUGGCGGCCACAGGCAGGUACAUGGACGCUGUCAUGGUGUUCCCCGGCGCUGGCUCGACGACCGGGUCCGCUCUGUCGGCACUCUGCGGGUCGUCGCCCAACUCGGCCAUGAGGUCGCACCGGCCGGCCAAAGCCAUUAUGACCACGAGCACGGGAGCGAUCGACGCAAAGAUGGUGGCGUCGUCGUUGGUCUCGUGCGGCUUCCCGUGCCCGUAAAGCCACACGAUGUCGUCGCAUGCGGACGGCCAAGGCAGAACGAGCGAUACCGAAACCAGCGAUGGCGAGUUGGACGACAUGGAAUCCAACCACUGAAAGACAAACUUUGCAAACAUGCCAGGCCAGGCGCAGCGCUUUAGAGCGACGGCGACGGCAUCGUCGCCGUACUGCGCGCGCAGCCCUGGCAGGCCGCCAUGCGAGGCGAUGCGCCAGACGGCCUUUGAGGCAUUGUCUGAAGCGCUCGAUGGAUCGGCCAUGGCCUCGCGGACCACCGCGUCGUCCGAGGCUUCUUGUUCGCCACGUUGGGUGGUGCCAAAAAGCAUCGAAGCCGCCGCCAAUAGGGCUCGACUGAUGUCUGCAUCGUCUCCCAACGCGAUUGACCGUUGGAACAGGCCAGCGACGUCGAGACCGCUCGCGUCCGAGACACGCUCAGCGAUGGCGCGCAUCUCGUCCACGGUCAUAUUCGGGGCCGCCCAUGCGUUCUUGAGCGCGACUCCGAUAUCCAGGCGCAGGCGAUGCCACAAAGACCAGGCGCAUUGUCGUGGCACCUUUCGGAGCAUCUUGCGCGCAGACGCCACGUCUUCCACAGCGAUCAUGCGCGUCGGACGGUUACCCUCGGCGCACAGCCACGUCAGAGACCCAUCGAUGUUGCAGCGGGCGGCGGCCACAGCGAGGGCUAGCCAUGGUGCCGGCAUCAGCGGCCACGUUGGUGCGUCGACCGUAGGAUUUUGCGAAACCGAGUGGAUGAACCUGAGUUCGUCCAGGAGCGUGUAGGUCCACGUCUCCUGGCUGUCGGGCAUCAUGGACUUUUCGGGCGACGCCAUGGCGACGAUGCGCCCUUUGAUGUGGUCGAGUAUGUCGACGCGGUCGCCGACGACGGCCACGUACAGACAGGCGUCCCAGCGAAAGCCAGCGACGGGACCAAAGACCUCGGGUCGAGAAGCGGCAUAAUGCAGGCCGUCUAGAUCUCCGGCCGCACAGAGCGACAAGAGGGUCGAGUAGCGGCAGCGGCGGGCGGCAAAGUCAGCGCCAGUGAGGACGUGGAAGCGACGCCAGGCCAGGAGGCAUGCGCCCAGGUCCUUGGGGUCGUUGACAUGCACGGAAACAAUAAAGUGAAGGAUCUCGUCGGG